RNAcentral lists this transfer RNA (87 nucleotides) under Sphingomonas sp. RNAcentral describes it as "tRNA-Asn". It matches the Rfam family "tRNA". From Rfam's summary of the family: Transfer RNA (tRNA) molecules are approximately 80 nucleotides in length. Lineage: Bacteria; Pseudomonadati; Pseudomonadota; Alphaproteobacteria; Sphingomonadales; Sphingomonadaceae. The record is from RNAcentral.
GAUUGGAUGGCCGAGCGGUCAAUGGCAGCGGACUGUUAAUCCGCCGAACGAAAGUUCACGAGGGUUCGAAUCCCUCUCCAAUCGCCA